This 580-nucleotide ribosomal RNA is filed under the name Nalanthamala psidii. RNAcentral describes it as "partial large subunit ribosomal RNA". It matches the Rfam family "Eukaryotic large subunit ribosomal RNA", at positions 68 to 664 of the family's 3401-position model. The record is from RNAcentral. Lineage: Eukaryota; Fungi; Ascomycota; Sordariomycetes; Hypocreales; Nectriaceae.
CCACGCCAUGCCUAGUACGGCGAGUGAAGCGGCAACAGCUCAAAUUUGAAAUCUGGCCCCUCGCGGGUCCGAGUUGUAAUUUGUAGAGGAUGCUUUUGGUGCGGUGCCUUCCGAGUUCCCUGGAACGGGACGCCAUAGAGGGUGAGAGCCCCGUCUGGUCGGAUACCAAUCCUCUGUAAAGCUCCUUCGACGAGUCGAGUAGUUUGGGAAUGCUGCUCUAAAUGGGAGGUAUAUGUCUUCUAAAGCUAAAUACCGGCCAGAGACCGAUAGCGCACAAGUAGAGUGAUCGAAAGAUGAAAAGCACUUUGAAAAGAGGGUUAAAUAGUACGUGAAAUUGUUGAAAGGGAAGCGCUUGUGACCAGACUUGGGCUUGGUUAAUCAUCCAGCGUUCUCGCUGGUGCACUUGGCCGGCCCAGGCCAGCAUCAGUUCGGGUCGGGGGAUAAAGGCGUCGGGAACGUGGCUCCCCCGGGAGUGUUAUAGCCCUUCGUGCAAUACCCUGAACCGGACUGAGGUUCGCGCAUCUGCAAGGAUGCUGGCGUAAUGGUCAUCAGCGACCCGUCUUGAACACAAGGAAACAAA